GUGAACAUUAAAUUGCAUGCGUAUCAUUGCGAACAUGAACUGAUUUGUUAUACGUGCAUACAAUAGGACGUGACUAAUUACUUGUGAGUGCAUAAUCUAGCAUACCGAGCAAACCAAGGUGAGUUCACACUCUUACCAAGGCAUGGGAUUCCCGGGGUGUUGGGAAUGGGAUUGAAAGGUUGAUUAGAUACUUUAUUGACACUAUGCCUAGACUACUACUUUACUAUCCUCGGUUGUGAAGGAUACCUAUAGUUACGAGUAGUCUAGUGGUUAUACAACGUGGAACACCACCACACAGUAACGUGGAACACCACCACACAGUAACGUGGAACACCACCACACAGUAACGUGGAACACCACCACACAGUAACGUGGAACACCACCACACAGUAACGUGGAACACCACCACACAGUAACGUGGAACACCACCACACAGUAACGUGGAACACCACCACACAGUAACGUGGAACACCACCACACAGUAACGUGGAACACCACCACACAGUAACGUGGAACACCACCACACAGUAACGUGGAACACCACCACACAGUAACGUGGAACACCACCACACAGUAACGUGGAACACCACCACACAGUAACGUGGAACACCACCACCAGUAACGUGGAACACCACCACCAGUAGAACAUACAAUCGGCCCAGUAGAGCCACCUGUUACAAACGAACUUACUAUUACGCAUUUACUUUCUGUGAACUCGCUCAACUAGUUUGUUGAUCAUUCUGUUACAUGCCUUGCAGAUCGUUAGGUACUUGGAGCUUGCACUGGUGAAGCGGGUCGUUGUGGACAAGGAUCGUGACUUUUCCGUUAAACUAUUAUGACACUUAAAACUGUUAACUACUACUGGUUUAUUUACUAUGCUUCCGCUACAUUUUGAAACGAUGAUUUGUUUGAUCACCUUUUGUAUUGAAUGGAUGGUUUUUAUUAAUAAUUAAUGUAUGUUCAAUAUGAUUGGUGGCUUGAUCCUGGUCAGUCACGCUCCCAAGCGGUGAUACUCCGCAGGUGGAUUUUGGGGGUACUAUAA
RNAcentral lists this long non-coding RNA (1042 nucleotides) under Helianthus annuus (common sunflower). RNAcentral describes it as "hypothetical non coding rna". The record is from RNAcentral. Lineage: Eukaryota; Viridiplantae; Streptophyta; Magnoliopsida; Asterales; Asteraceae.